RNAcentral lists this ribosomal RNA (492 nucleotides) under uncultured bacterium. RNAcentral describes it as "partial 16S ribosomal RNA". It matches the Rfam family "Bacterial small subunit ribosomal RNA", at positions 29 to 507 of the family's 1533-position model. The record is from RNAcentral.
AGUGAACGCUGGCGGUAGGCCUAACACAUGCAAGUCGAACGGCAGCACAGUAAGAGCUUGCUCUUACGGGUGGCGAGUGGCGGACGGGUGAGGAAUACAUCGGAAUCUACUUUUUCGUGGGGGAUAACGUAGGGAAACUUACGCUAAUACCGCAUACGACCUACGGGUGAAAGCAGGGGAUCUUCGGACCUUGCGCGAUUGAAUGAGCCGAUGUCGGAUUAGCUAGUUGGCGGGGUAAAGGCCCACCAAGGCGACGAACCGUAGCUGGUCUGAGAGGAUGAACAGCCACACUGGAAGUGAGACACGGCCCAGACUCCUACGGGAGGCAGCAGGGGGGAAUUUUGGACAAGGGGCGCAAGCCUGAUCCAGCAAUGCCGCGUGGGUGAAGAAGGCCUUCGGGUUGUAAAGCCCUUUUGUUGGGAAAAAAAACAAGGGGUUUAAUACCCCGGGGUUCUGACGUUACCAAAAGAAUAAGCACCGGCUAACUUCGUG